Vitis riparia (riverbank grape) is the source of this 4496-nucleotide RNA transcript. It is a transcript of the gene named putative disease resistance protein RGA4, with no coding region annotated. NCBI's taxonomy places the organism in Eukaryota, Viridiplantae, Streptophyta, Magnoliopsida, Vitales, Vitaceae. The record is from RefSeq and is a predicted model, not a curated record. The transcript has 3 exons.
UUCUUUUUCUCACCACUCAAUUAUGGUCUCUGGGCAUCUGGGUCACCACCAAUAAUGAUUCCUUCAAGCAUUCUGCAGUCUGGUAAUCCAAAUCCAGUCUUUUGCAGUUUGGUGGUAUCGCGGUAAACAAACCAAUCGUCUGAAUUCCUAUUGCAAAGCAACAGUCAGACAGAUAUGGCGGACGCACUCCUCUCGGCUUCGCUCAACGUUCUCUUCGAUAGGUUGGCUUCUCCAGAGCUCAUAAACUUCAUUCGGCGACGGAACCUUAGCGAUGAACUCCUCGACGAGUUGAAGAGGAAACUAGUGGUGGUUCUCAAUGUGCUCGAUGAUGCGGAGGUGAAGCAAUUUUCAAACCCAAAUGUCAAAAAUUGGCUGGUCCAUGUCAAGGAUGCUGUGUAUGAUGCGGAAGACCUGUUGGAUGAGAUCGCUACCGACGCUUUGCGGUGCAAGAUGGAAGCUGCUGACUCCCAAAUCGGUGGGACUCAUAAGGCGUGGAAAUGGAACAAGUUCGCUGCUUGUGUUAAGGCUCCAACUGCUAUCCAAAGCAUGGAGUCCAGGGUCAGGGGCAUGAUUGCUCUACUAGAAAAAAUUGCACUAGAAAAAGUUGGGUUCGUGCUGGCAGAAGGUGGGGGUGAGAAACUGUCACCAAGACCAAGAUCACCAAUAUCCACUUCGUUGGAGGAUGAGUCCUUUGUGCUCGGCAGGGAUGAAAUUCAGAAGGAGAUGGUGAAGUGGUUGCUUUCUGACAAUUCAACAGGCGAAAAAAUGGAGGUGAUGUCCAUAGUGGGCAUGGGCGGCAGCGGCAAGACCACGCUUGCUCGGCUUCUCUAUAACGAUGAGGGAGUGAAGGAACACUUCCACUUGAAAGCAUGGGUCUGUGUUUCCACUGAGUUUCUUCUUAUCAAGGUCACCAAAACAAUUCUUGAGGAAAUCGGUUCUAAAACUGAUUCUGACAACCUAAAUAAGCUUCAGCUUGAACUCAAAGACCAACUUAGUAACAAGAAAUUUCUGCUUGUUCUCGAUGACAUCUGGAAUUUGAAGCCUCGUGAUGAAGGUUAUAUGGAGUUUAGCGAUCUUGAAGGUUGGAAUAGUCUACGAACUCCACUCCUCGCUGCAGCACAGGGAAGCAAGAUUGUCGUGACCAGUCGUGAUCAAUCUGUUGCAACAACCAUGCGUGCAGGCCGCACUCAUCGUCUGGGAGAAUUAAGCCCUCAACAUUGUUGGAGGCUUUUUGAAAAGCUUGCAUUUCAAGACAGAGACUCCAACGCAUUCCUUGAGCUUGAACCCAUAGGUAGACAGAUUGUGGACAAGUGCCAAGGAUUGCCUUUGGCUGUAAAAGCACUCGGUCGUCUCUUGCGCUCUAAGGUCGAAAAAAGGGAAUGGGAGGAUGUCUUCGACAGUGAAAUAUGGCAUCUGCCAAGUGGUCCUGAAAUUCUUCCAUCUUUGAGAUUGAGCUAUCAUCAUCUUUCUCUACCUCUGAAGCAUUGUUUUGCAUAUUGUUCAAUUUUUCCCCGGAACCAUGAAUUCGAUAAAGAGAAGCUGAUUUUAUUAUGGAUGGCAGAAGGCCUUUUACAUCCACAGCAAGGCGACAAAAGAAGAAUGGAAGAGAUAGGUGAGUCAUAUUUUGAUGAGCUUUUGGCAAAGUCAUUUUUCCAAAAAUCUAUUAAAAAAAAAUCAUACUUUGUAAUGCAUGAUCUAAUACAUGCAUUGGCUCAACAUGUGUCUGAAGUUUUUUGUGCUCAAGAAGAAGAUGAUGAUAAGGUACCAAAAGUAUCUGAAAAGACUCGUCACUUUUUGUACUUUAAAAGUGAUUAUGACCGAAUGGUUACAUUUAAAAAGUUUGAGGCUAUUAUCAAAGCUAAAUCUCUUCGCACAUUCUUAGAGGUAAAGCCAUCACAAUACAAGCCUUGGUAUAUUUUGAGUAAAAGAGUUUUGCAAGAUAUAUUGCCAAAAAUGCGAUGUCUACGCGUGUUGUCAUUACGUGGAUAUAACAUAACUGAUUUACCUAAAUCGAUAGGUAAUUUAAAACAUUUGCGUUACUUGGAUCUAUCUUUCACAAUGAUCCAAAAAUUACCUGAAUCAGUAUGUUAUUUGUGCAAUUUACAAACGAUGAUACUAAGAAGAUGUUCAUGUCUUAAUGAAUUGCCUUCAAGGAUGGGGAAAUUGAUUAAUUUGCGUUAUCUUGAUAUUUUUAGAUGUGAUUCAUUGAUAGAUAUGUCAACUUAUGAUAUUGGUAGAUUAAAAAGUUUACAAAGAUUGACUUAUUUUAUUGUGGGCCAAAAGAAUGGAUUAAGAAUUGGAGAAUUGAGGGAGCUUUCAAAGAUUCGAGGAACACUUCAUAUUUCAAACGUAAAUAAUGUGGUGAGUGUUAACGAUGCAUUACAGGCUAAUAUGAAGGAUAAGAGUUAUCUUGAUGAGUUAACCUUGAAUUGGGAAUCUGGUUGGGUUACAAAUGGUAGUAUUACACAACAUGAUGCUACAACUGAUGAUAUACUCAACAGUUUACAACCUCAUCCAAAUUUAAAACAACUCUCCAUCACAAACUAUCCUGGUGCAAGAUUUCCAAAUUGGCUUGGAGAUUCUUCAGUACUCUUGAAUCUCUUGUCCCUUGAGCUUCGGGGUUGUGGCAAUUGCUCAACACUGCCACUACUUAGGCAGCUAACCCAUCUUAAAUAUCUACAGAUCUCAGGAAUGAAUGAAGUAGAGUGUGUGGGUAGUGAGUUUCAUGGGAAUGCUUCCUUUCAAUCCCUAGAAACACUAUCAUUUGAGGAUAUGAUGAAUUGGGAGAAAUGGUUAUGUUGUGGAGAAUUCCCUCGUCUCCAAAAGCUUUCUUUACAGGAGUGCCCCAAACUCACUGGGAAAUUACCAGAACAACUUCCUUCAUUGGAGGAACUUGUAAUUGUUGAAUGUCCGCAGCUGCUUAUGGCUUCACUCACUGUUCCUGCUAUUCGUGAAUUGAGGAUGGUGGAUUUUGGUAAAUUGCAGUUGCAAAUGCCAGCUUGUGACUUCACAGCUCUUCAAACUUCAGAAAUUGAAAUUUCAGACGUAUCUCAGUGGAGGCAACUUCCAGUGGCACCACACCAGCUCUCAAUUAUAAAAUGUGAUUCUAUGGAGUCUCUACUAGAGGAGGAAAUCUUGCAAAGCAACAUACAUUAUCUGAAAAUCUAUUAUUGUUGUUUCUCUAGAUCUCUGAACAAAGUUGGUUUACCAGCUACAUUGAAAUCACUAUCAAUCUCUAACUGUACCAAAGUGGACCUUCUUCUACCUGAGUUGUUCAGAUGCCAUCUCCCAGUCCUUGAGAGGCUAAGCAUCGAUGGUGGUGUUAUCGAUGAUUCUUUCUCAUUGUCCUUCUCAUUAGGCAUCUUCCCAAAGUUGACUGAUUUCACGAUCGACGAUCUUGAGGGGCUUGAGAAGCUCUCCAUUUCAAUUUCAGAGGGAGAUCCCACGUCUUUAUGUUCCUUGCAUCUAUGGAAUUGCCCUAAUCUUGAAACUAUCGAAUUGUUCGCUCUCAACUUGAAGUCUUGUUGGAUCUCUAGUUGCUCCAAGCUCAGGUCGUUGGCACACACGCACUCAUAUAUACAAGAGCUGGGUUUAUGGGAUUGUCCAGAAUUGCUGUUUCCGAGAGAGGGUUUGCCUUCCAACCUACGUCAACUUCAAUUUCAAAGCUGUAACAAACUCACGCCGCAGGUGGAGUGGGGUUUGCAAAGGCUGACCUCUCUUACAUUUUUAGGAAUGAAAGGUGGAUGUGAAGACAUGGAAUUAUUUCCCAAGGAGUGUCUGCUGCCCUCUUCUCUGACUAAUCUUUCAAUCUGGAAUCUUCCAAAUCUCAAGUCUUUUGACAGCAGGGGGCUUCAACGACUUACCUCUCUUUUAGAAUUAAAGAUCAUAAACUGCCCAGAGCUCCAGUUCUCGACAGGGUCGGUUCUUCAACACCUUAUCGCUCUCAAAGAAUUACGAAUUGAUAAAUGCCCAAGGCUCCAAUCCUUGACAGAAGUGGGCCUUCAACACCUUACCUCUCUUAAAAGAUUGCACAUCUCCGAGUGCCCUAAGCUCCAAUACUUAACAAAACAGAGACUGCAAGACUCCUCGAGUCUUCCACACCUCAUCUCUCUCAAACAAUUCCAAAUCGAGGAUUGCCCAAUGCUCCAAUCCUUGACAGAAGAGGGUCUUCAACACCUCACCUCUCUUAAAGCAUUAGAGAUCAGAAGCUGUCGCAAGCUCAAAUACUUGACAAAAGAGAGACUUCCAGACUCCCUCUCUUAUCUGCAUGUCAACGGGUGUCCUUUACUGGAACAACGGUGUCAAUUUGAGAAAGGGGAAGAAUGGCGUUAUAUAGCUCACAUUCCAGAAAUAGUGAUCAACCGUGUGCUAUUUUAAUGGACGUGGUACUCCACCAAUAUACAGCAGCUUGCACUGAUUGGGAGUCCAUGCCAAAAAAGGCUGGUCUAUUGUAUGCUAACCAAGUGGACAUCUUCAGAAGGUCUUGAGCCCAAACA